CCUAUGGGUGGCAGCAGUGAGGAAUAUUGGUCAAUGGGCGCGCGCCUGAACCAGCCAAGUCGCGUGAGGGAAGACGGCCCUACGGGUUGUAAACCUCUUUUGCCGGGGAGCAACGGGCGCCACGGGUGGCGCCACUGAGAGUACCCGGAGAAAAAGCAUCGGCUAACUCCGUGCCAGCAGCCGCGGUCAUACGGAGGAUGCGAGCGUUAUCCGUAUUUAUUGGGUGUAAAGGUUGCGCAGGCGGAGCGUUAAGUCAGGGGUCAAAUUGGGGGGCCCAACCCCUUCCCGCCAUUGAAACUGGCGCUCUUGAGUGGAAGAGAAGUAUGCGGAAUGCUUGGUGUAGCGGUGAAAUGCAUAGAUAUCACGCAGAACCCCGAUUGCGAAGGCAGCAUGCCGGCUUCCGACUGACGCUGAAGCACGAAAGCGUGGGGAUCGAACAGGAUUAGAUACCCAGUAGUC
RNAcentral lists this ribosomal RNA (459 nucleotides) under uncultured bacterium. RNAcentral describes it as "partial 16S ribosomal RNA". It matches the Rfam family "Bacterial small subunit ribosomal RNA", at positions 338 to 795 of the family's 1533-position model. The record is from RNAcentral.